UGAGGAGUCAGUCAGGACUCAGGAGGACUUCACCUCAGUUCCGUUCUGACUGGGGAGCAGCAGUGAAGCCAGAGGUGUGUGAGUGCAUCGCUGUGCAUGGCACCUCUAGGACAGCAACAUAUUGCUACAGGUACCUCUAGGAUGGUAAGACAUUGCUACAAGUACCUUGGCUCACUCAGAAGACUCUGCAGACUGAAGACUCUACCAGAGCAGUGAAACAAAGGGGGUGGGGGCGACACCAAAGUGCACCUUCAGUGUGUUGACCCAAAUCCUUCAUCGGCCCGGAUUUCAUGAAGAUGAAGGAAAAGUAAGCAUAUAAAGGCAACAUGCAGUUCUCCAUUUAUUCCAUUUGUUUUGGUUGCUGCACAAGUAAGAAGCUUGUCAGGCAGAUUCCUUACCUUUGAUGCAGGUUGUUUCCAGUGAUGGUUUACACAGUCAUGGAAAUUAAAUCAUCACUUUGAUUCUAAGAAAAGAGAAGACAGAGGACAUUUUAGCAUAAAUCUGACUUGAUAUUCAUGCAAAUGACAUAAUAUCAGUGUUAAAAUAAUCAUUGAAGGUUUAAAUGUUAAAGAUAAACUAGAAAAA
Long non-coding RNA from Hyla sarda, 585 nucleotides. RefSeq lists it as uncharacterized. Lineage: Eukaryota; Metazoa; Chordata; Amphibia; Anura; Hylidae. The record is from RefSeq and is a predicted model, not a curated record. The transcript is spliced from 3 exons.